Molecule: ribosomal RNA, 1222 nt
Filed under: uncultured methanogenic archaeon
Lineage: Archaea; Methanobacteriati; Methanobacteriota
Description: bacterial SSU rRNA
Rfam family: Archaeal small subunit ribosomal RNA
Source: RNAcentral
GCUCAGUAACACGUGGAGAACGUGCCCUUAGGCGGAGGAUAAUCUCGGGAAAUUGAGGAUAAUACUCCAUAGGUCACGGGGUCUGGAACGACCCGUGGCCGAAAGCCCCGGCGCCUAAGGAUCGCUCUGCGGCUUAUCAGGUCGUAGUGGGUGUAACGUACCCCCUAGCCGACGACGAGUAUGGGCCUUGAGAGAGGGAGCCCAAGUUGGAUUCUGAGACACGAAUCCGGCCCUACGGGGCGCAGCAGUCGCGAAAACUUCACACUGGGGGCAACCCCGAUGAGGGAAUUCCUAGUGCCAGGGCCUCUGGUCCUGGCUUUUCUCCGGCGUAACACCGGAGGAAUAAGGGCUGGGUAAACGGGUGCCACCGCCGCGGUAAUACCUGCAGCCCGAGUGGUGGUCGAUUUUAUUGAGUCUAAACGUUCGUACCGGCCCGGUAAAUCCCUGGGGUAAAUCGGGAAGCUCACUUCCCGAAUCCGGGGAGACUGCCGGGUUGGGACCGGGGAAGCCAAAGGUACUUCGGGGUAGGGUAAAUCCUGGUAAUCCUGGAAGGACACCGGUGGGCAAGCGUCUACUAAAAGGAUUCGACGUGAGGAGAACCUGGUCCCAACGGGAUUAGAUACCCGGUAGUCCAGGUUUAACCGUGCAACUGGGUUGGGGCCCUUCGGGGGCGUCCAAGUCCCGAGGAAAGCUGUAAGUCUGCUACUUGGGAGUACGUCCGCAAGGGAUGAAACUUAAAGGAAUUGGGGGGGAGCACCGCAACGGGGAGGAGCGGCGGUUUAAUUGGAUUCAACACGGAAACUCACCAAGGGCGACUGUAACAUGAAAGCCAGGCCGAUGACCUUGCUAGAUUUUCAGAGAGGUGGUGCAUGGCCGUCGUCAGUUCGUACCGUAAGGCGUUCUCUUAAGUGAGAUAACGAACGAGACCCUCACCAAUAGUUGCUACUCCGUCCUCCGGGGCGGAGGCACACUAUUGGGACCGCUGGCGCUAAGUCAGAGGAAGGAGGGGUCAACGGUAGGUCAGUAUGCCCCGAAUCUGCUGGGCUACACGCGCGCUACAAAGGGCGGGACAAUGGGCUCCGACACCGAAAGGUGAAGGUAAUCCCGAAACCCGUCCGUAGUUCGGAUUGAGGGUUGUAACUCACCCUCAUGAAGCUGGAUUCCGUAGUAAUCGCGAAUCAACAACUCGCGGUGAAUAUGCCCCUGCUCCUUGCACACACCG